UACGUAGGGUGCGAGCGUUGUCCGGAAUUAUUGGGCGUAAAGAGCUCGUAGGCGGUUUGUCACGCCUGCUGUGAAAUCCCGAGGCUCAACCUCGGGCCUGCAGUGGGUACGGGCAGACUGGAGUGCGGUAGGGGAGAUUGGAAUUCCUGGUGUAGCGGUGGAAUGCGCAGAUAUCAGGAGGAACACCGAUGGCGAAGGCAGGUCACUGGGCCGCAACUGACGCUGAGGAGCGAAAGCAUGGGGAGCGAACAGG
RNAcentral lists this ribosomal RNA (253 nucleotides) under uncultured bacterium. RNAcentral describes it as "partial 16S ribosomal RNA". It matches the Rfam family "Bacterial small subunit ribosomal RNA", at positions 524 to 776 of the family's 1533-position model. The record is from RNAcentral.